CCUACGGGAGGCUGCAGUGGGGAAUAUUGGACAAUGGGGGCAACCCUGAUCCAGCCAUGCCGCGUGUGUGAAGAAGGCCCUCGGGUUGUAAAGCACUUUCAGUGAGGAAGAACGCCUGGUGGUUAAUACCCAUCAGGAAAGACAUCACUCACAGAAGAAGCACCGGCUAACUCCGUGCCAGCAGCCGCGGUAAUACGGAGGGUGCGAGCGUUAAUCGGAAUUACUGGGCGUAAAGCGCGCGUAGGUGGCUUGAUAAGCCGGUUGAGAAAGCCCCGGGCUCAACCUGGGAACGGCAUCCGGAACUGUCAAGCUAGAGUGCAGGAGAGGAAGGUAGAAUUCCCGGUGUAGCGGUGAAAUGCGUAGAGAUCGGGAGGAAUACCAGUGGCGAAGGCGGCCUUCUGGACUGACACUGACACUGAGGUGCGAAAGCGUGGGUAGCAAACAGGAUUAGAUACCCCUGUAGUC
RNAcentral lists this ribosomal RNA (465 nucleotides) under Vreelandella stevensii. Its description in RNAcentral is "partial 16S ribosomal RNA". It matches the Rfam family "Bacterial small subunit ribosomal RNA", at positions 338 to 795 of the family's 1533-position model. The record is from RNAcentral. Lineage: Bacteria; Pseudomonadati; Pseudomonadota; Gammaproteobacteria; Oceanospirillales; Halomonadaceae.